RNAcentral lists this long non-coding RNA (475 nucleotides) under Bos taurus (domestic cattle). RNAcentral's name for it is "long non-coding RNA NONBTAT025021". The record is from RNAcentral. Lineage: Eukaryota; Metazoa; Chordata; Mammalia; Artiodactyla; Bovidae.
GUCAUCCUGAGAAGGUGACCAAUUAGGGGUUUUUCUUUAUGUGUUUUUAUAACAUGUAAAGAUAUGUACAGCUCAUGAACUCAUGUACUUGAGCCUUCCUGGUGGACUUCAGCCCGUCGCAGCCAGCCUGCAGCUGCUCUGGCCUGUGGGAGGAGCCUUCCAGGUGGCUCUUGAUUGCUCUUUAUGUUCACGUGUGUGCAUUUCCUGCUUGUCCGUCUCCAGCUGCCAUGUGAGUUUCCUGUUUGGGGGAGAUUUUACGUUCUUGUGUCUGUAACAAGGGCCUCAGUUGCGCCUGUGUCCCCUCCGGGGUUUAGAUGUGUCGCUCUUUAGCAGUAUUUUCACUCCUCAAGGCCUGAGAAUUGGCUGCAUUAUUUUGGCGGGGUGGGGGGCAGGGGUGGUCUUAAUUUGUUGGAGUAGGCAACUCGAUCCACAGGCAGGGUCUUAGGCCUGGGGCGUUGAGCUCUUGCCACGGCCC